RNAcentral lists this ribosomal RNA (428 nucleotides) under uncultured bacterium. Its description in RNAcentral is "partial 16S ribosomal RNA". It matches the Rfam family "Bacterial small subunit ribosomal RNA", at positions 354 to 796 of the family's 1533-position model. The record is from RNAcentral.
GUAGGGAAUAUUGGACAAUGGGGGCAACCCUGAUCCAGCGACGCCGCGUGAGUGAUGAAGGCCUUCGGGUCGUAAAGCUCUGUUGCAGGGGAAGAACACAAUGACGGUACCAUUCGAGGAAGGACCGGCUAACUUCGUGCCAGCAGCCGCGGUAAUACGAGGGGUCCUAGCGUUGUUCGGAAUCAUUGGGCGUAAAGGGUGUGUAGGUGGCCAUGUAAGUCAGGUGUGAAAGCCCCGGGCUCAACCCGGGAAGUGCACUUGAUGCUGCGUGGCUUGAGUACCGAAGAGGGUAGUGGAAUUCCAGGUGUAGUGGUGAAAUACGUAGAUAUCUGGAGGAACACCGGUGGCGAAGGCGGCUACCUGGUCGAGUACUGACACUGAGACACGAAAGCAUGGGGAUCAAACAGGAUUAGAAACCCUAGUAGUCC